GACGAACGCUGGCGGCGUGCCUAAUACAUGCAAGUAGGACGCAGUUGCGAACGGGUGAGUAACGCGUAGGUAACUGCCUCUUAGAGGGGGAUAACUAUUGGAAACGCUAGCUAAUACCGCAUACUAGUAGAUGGACCUGCGUUGUAUUAGGUAGUAGGUUGGGUAAUGGCCUACCUAGGCGAGGAUACAUAGCCGACCCUGAGGGGUGAUCGGGCACACUGGGAAUGGGACACGGCCCCGACUCCUACGGGAGGCAGGAGGAGGGAAUCUUCGGCAAUGGGGGGAACCCUGAACGAGCAACGCCGCCGGAUGGAAGAAGGGUUUCGGAUCGUAAAGCUCUGUUGUUAAGGAAGCGGUACUUAACCAGAAAGGGACGGCUAACUACGUGCCAGCAGCCGCGGUAAUUC
This 407-nucleotide ribosomal RNA is filed under the name uncultured bacterium. RNAcentral's name for it is "partial 16S ribosomal RNA". It matches the Rfam family "Bacterial small subunit ribosomal RNA", at positions 28 to 526 of the family's 1533-position model. The record is from RNAcentral.